Molecule: transfer RNA, 58 nt
Filed under: Desulfotomaculum sp.
Lineage: Bacteria; Bacillati; Bacillota; Clostridia; Eubacteriales; Desulfotomaculaceae
Description: tRNA-Ser
Rfam family: tRNA
About the family: Transfer RNA (tRNA) molecules are approximately 80 nucleotides in length. Their secondary structure includes four short double-helical elements and three loops (D, anti-codon, and T loops).
Source: RNAcentral
GUAGAGCAUCGCCUUGCCAAGGCGAGGGUCGCGGGUUCGAAUCCCGUCUUCCGCUCCA